This 763-nucleotide ribosomal RNA is filed under the name bacterium enrichment culture clone BD13. RNAcentral describes it as "bacterial SSU rRNA". It matches the Rfam family "Bacterial small subunit ribosomal RNA", at positions 67 to 766 of the family's 1533-position model. The record is from RNAcentral.
CGGUAUAAACCUUUCGGGGUUUAGAGAGUGGCGAACGGGUGAGUAACACGUAGGUAAUCUACCCUCAAAACGGGGACAACCCAGGGAAACUUGGGCUAAUACCGGAUGCGUGCAAGCAAUGUUUUGGCUGUUAAUGCUAUUCGCGGAAGUGAGUAGUGUUAAUGGUUGAGAGCAUUAUUUGCAUAAAAGGUGGCAUAUGCUGCCGUUUGAGGAUGAACCUGCGUCCUAUUAGUUAGUUGGUGAGGUAAUGGCUUACCAAGGCGAUGAUAGGUAGGCGGCCUUAACGGGUGGUCGCCCACACUGGGAUUGAGAGACGGCCCAGACUCCUACGGGAGGCAGCAGUCGAGAAUAGUCUACAAUGGACGGAAGUCUGAUAGUGCGACGCCGCGUGAACGAAGAAUCCCUUCGGGGUGUAAAGUUCUUUUAUACGUGAGCAGUGCCCUUUAUAUGAAUAGUAUAGAGGGAGGGAUUUAAGCGUAUGAAUAAGCAACGGCUAACUCCGUGCCAGCAGCCGCGGUAACACGGGGGUUGCAAGCGUUGUCCGGAAUUACUAGGCGUAAAGUGCAGGUAGGCGGAUAGAUAAGUUUAAGGUUAAAGGCUACGGCUUACCCGUAGUAAGGCGUUAGAUACUGUUUAUCUGGAAUGCGGUUGAGGGAGACAGAAUUCCUGGUGUAGCGGUGGAAUGCGCAGAGAUCAGGAGGAAUACCGAAGGCGAAGGCAGUCUUCUAAGCCGAUAUUGACGCUAAACUGCGAAGGUGUGGGG